AGUGAGAUAGCUGGGUAAAAUGGUGGUUCCAUUGCCAAGGAAUCUCCAUACUGCUUUCCAUAUUGGUUGCACCAAUUUUUAGUCCCAUCACCAAU
Molecule: microRNA precursor, 95 nt
Filed under: Marmota monax (woodchuck)
Lineage: Eukaryota; Metazoa; Chordata; Mammalia; Rodentia; Sciuridae
Source: RNAcentral